AGUCACUGACAUUAGAUACCCGGGUAGUCCAGGGUGUAAACGCUGCAGACUUGGUGUUGGAAGUCCUUUGGGGGCAUUCAGUGCCGGAGAGAAGUUGUUAAGUCUGCUACUUGGGGAGUACGUCCGCAAGGAUGAAACUUAAGGAAUUGGCGGGGAGCACCGCAACGGGAGGAGCGUGCGGUUUAAUUGGAUUCAACACCGUAAAACUCACCAGGGAAGACUGUUACAUGAAAGCCGAGAUGAAGACUCUGCUAGAUUUUUCAG
This 264-nucleotide ribosomal RNA is filed under the name uncultured archaeon. RNAcentral's name for it is "partial 16S ribosomal RNA". It matches the Rfam family "Archaeal small subunit ribosomal RNA", at positions 719 to 982 of the family's 1478-position model. The record is from RNAcentral.